This 653-nucleotide long non-coding RNA is filed under the name Parus major (Great Tit). RNAcentral's name for it is "lncRNA (ENSPMJG00000002493.1)". Lineage: Eukaryota; Metazoa; Chordata; Aves; Passeriformes; Paridae. The record is from RNAcentral.
CCAGGUGUGUCCAGGUGUCCCCAGGUGUGUCCAGGUGUUCCCAGGUGCACUCAGGUGUGUCCCCAGGUGUCCCCAGGUGUUCCCAGGUGCACUCAGGUGUGUCCCCAGGUGUAUCCAGAUGUAUCCAGGUGUAUCUCAGGUGUGUCCAGGUGUGUCCAGGUGUGUCCAGGUGCACUCAGGUGUGUCCCAGGUGUCCCCAGGUGUGUCCAGGUGUGCUCAGGUGUGCUCAGGUGUGUCCUCAGGUGUGCCCAGGUACACUCAGGUGUGUCCCCUCUCAGACAGGCGCGGGUCCGGGUGGUGACGGGGACCGAGCUGGCCUCGAUGGCCCCGGGGACAUUGGAGGAGCUGCUGUGGGUGUAGGUGUGGGUGUGUCCAGGUGUGUCCAGGUGUCCCCAGGUGUGUCCAGGUGUCCCCAGGUGUGUCCAGGUGCACUCAGGUGUGUCCCCAGGUGUAUCCAGGUGUAUCCAGGUGUCCCCAGGUGUCCCCAGGUGUAUCCAGAUGUAUCCAGGUGUCCCCAGGUGUCCCCAGGUGUCCCCAGGUGUGUCCCCAGGUGUGCUCAGGUGUGUCCCCAGGUGUCCCCAGGUGUGUCCAGGUGUAUCCAGGUGCACUCAGGUGUGUCCUCAGGUGUGCCCAGGUGCACUCAGGUGUGUCCC